Molecule: non-coding RNA, 366 nt
Organism: Podarcis lilfordi (Lilford's wall lizard)
Lineage: Eukaryota; Metazoa; Chordata; Lepidosauria; Squamata; Lacertidae
Source: the annotation of a GenBank genome assembly
CAUUUCCUCUUUUUUUAUUUAACAAAAUUUAUAUACCGCUUUUAUAAUUUAUAUACAAAUUAUUAGGAGAGUAAGUUACAAAUAUACUGUAGUUUAUUCACUUAUAGGCUAGUUUACAUACUUUAUUCCUUCUUAUACUUCUAUCCCACCUUUCCUCCACAGAGCAUACACACUUCAGCCUCCACCUUCUCCAUUUUAUCCUGACAGCAAUAUUGUGAGCUAGGGCCAUAGCUCAGUGGUAGAACAACUGCUUAGCAUGCAGAAGGCAUCAGGUUCAGUCCCCAGCAUCUCCUGGUGGGACAGGGAGCGCUCCCUCUGCGCUUCGGAGGCUUCGCGUUGCUAUCGCUGAAGCCAAGGAGCCUGCAU